This 460-nucleotide ribosomal RNA is filed under the name uncultured bacterium. RNAcentral's name for it is "partial 16S ribosomal RNA". It matches the Rfam family "Bacterial small subunit ribosomal RNA", at positions 338 to 795 of the family's 1533-position model. The record is from RNAcentral.
CCUACGGGUGGCAGCAGUGAGGAAUAUUGGUCAAUGGACGCGAGUCUGAACCAGCCAAGCAGCGUGCAGGAAGACGGCUCUAUGAGUUGUAAACUGCUUUUGUACAGGGGUAAACGCAGAUACGUGUGUCUUUCUGAAAGUAUCUUACGAAUAAGGAUCGGCUAACUCCGUGCCAGCAGCCGCGGUAAUACGGAGGAUUCAAGCGUUAUCCGGAUUUAUUGGGUUUAAAGGGUGCGUAGGCGGGCGGUUAAGUUAGAGGUGAAAUUCGGAGGCUCAACUUCGGAAUUGCAUUUGAUACUGUUCGGCUAGAGAGUAGUUGCGGUAGGCGGAAUGCAUGGUGUAGCGGUGAAAUGCUUAGAGAUCAUAAAGAACACCGAUUGCGAAGGCAGCUUACCAAGCUACUUCUGACGUUGAGGCACGAAAGCGUGGGGAGCAAACAGGAUUAGAUACCCGUGUAGUC